This 416-nucleotide ribosomal RNA is filed under the name uncultured bacterium. RNAcentral describes it as "bacterial SSU rRNA". It matches the Rfam family "Bacterial small subunit ribosomal RNA", at positions 29 to 489 of the family's 1533-position model. The record is from RNAcentral.
AGCGAACGCUGGCGGCAGGCCUAACACAUGCAAGUCGAGCGCCCGGGCAACCGGGAGCGGCAGACGGGUGAGUAACACGUGGGAACAUGCCCUUCGGUUCGGAAUAACUCAGGGAAACUUGAGCUAAUACCGGAUACGUCCGUAAGGAGAAAGAUUUAUCGCCGAAGGAUUGGCCCGCGUCUGAUUAGCUAGUUGGUGGGGUAAUGGCCCACCAAGGCGACGAUCAGUAGCUGGUCNGAGAGGAUGAUCAGCCACACUGGGACUGAGACACGGCCCAGACUCCUACGGGAGGCAGCAGUGGGGAAUAUUGGACAAGUGGGCGAAAGCCUGAUCCAGCCAUGCCGCGUGAGUGAUGAAGGCCCUAGGGUUGUAAAGCUCUUUCGGCGGGGAAGAUAAUGACGGUACCCGCAGAAGAA